AUGGAUAUGGAACACGAAACACCAAAAAAAUUAGUGGUACUUGCUACUCAUGGAGAUGGGGAACCUCCUAAAACCCUCGAUGCUUAUUAUGUGAAAGAUAUUAUGUACUACUUUGAUAAUCCUGAGAAAACCCCAUUCAAUUAUAUAAUGGGAGACACAUUGGAUCAACAUGAAUACUUUAGGGAUUAUCGCUUGACUCAAAAAGGGAAACUAUUAUGGGAUCAAAUUCAUAUGUUGCAUUGGUAUGCUCGGCAACUUUGCUUGAGAUAUGAUUAUACUUGUUGCUCUAGGAUGAAGGCUCCACACCUUCCCUUUUCAUGCAAAUUUAAUGAUGAUAAAACCUUGGCUUCUUAUGCUAAUGGUAUAUAUGAUUACUAUGAUGUGGAACGAAUAGAAGAGUUUGUUGCUUUUAUGGGAGCUUAUGAAAUUGAAUCUUUGUUUAAAGAGUUUGAAGAUUUUGAUGAUUCAGUUUAUAGACCUGAAAAUUUUGCUAUACUUAAAUAUUGCUAUGAGAAUUAUGAAUUCAAUUCCGAUAUUGAUGAUUUUAUUGAGAGAGUCUCCGCUUUCCAAAAGAGACUAAUAUUUUGCAAGAGUCUAUGGAAGAAGAAAUUAAUGACAUUGUGA
This 624-nucleotide ribosomal RNA is filed under the name Triticum aestivum (bread wheat). RNAcentral's name for it is "partial small subunit ribosomal RNA". Lineage: Eukaryota; Viridiplantae; Streptophyta; Magnoliopsida; Poales; Poaceae. The record is from RNAcentral.